This 301-nucleotide ribosomal RNA is filed under the name uncultured bacterium. RNAcentral's name for it is "partial 16S ribosomal RNA". It matches the Rfam family "Bacterial small subunit ribosomal RNA", at positions 512 to 810 of the family's 1533-position model. The record is from RNAcentral.
UAGCCGCGGGAAUACGUAGGGUGCGAGCGUUAAUCGGAAUUACUGGGCGUAAAGCGUGCGCAGGCGGUUUUGUAAGACAGGCGUGAAAUCCCCGGGCUCAACCUGGGAAUGGCGCUUGUGACUGGCGGGCUAGAGUAUGGCAGAGGGGGGUAGAAUUCCACGUGUAGCAGUGAAAUGCGUAGAGAUCAGGAGGAACACCGAUGGCGAAGGCAGCCCCCUGGGCCUGUACUGACGCUCAUGCACGAAAGCGUGGGGAGCAAACAGGAUUAGAUACCCCGGUAGUCCCUGUCUCUUAUACACA